RNAcentral lists this ribosomal RNA (597 nucleotides) under uncultured bacterium. RNAcentral describes it as "bacterial SSU rRNA". It matches the Rfam family "Bacterial small subunit ribosomal RNA", at positions 338 to 939 of the family's 1533-position model. The record is from RNAcentral.
CCUACGGGAGGCAGCAGUGGGGAAUAUUGCACAAUGGGCGAAAGCCUGAUGCAGCGACGCCGCGUGAGGGAUGACGGCCUUCGGGUUGUAAACCUCUUUCAGCAGGGAAGAAGCGAGAGUGACGGUACCUGCAGAAGAAGCGCCGGCUAACUACGUGCCAGCAGCCGCGGUAAUACGUAGGGCGCAAGCGUUGUCCGGAAUUAUUGGGCGUAAAGAGCUCGUAGGCGGCUUGUUGCGUCGGUUGUGAAAGCCCGGGGCUUAACCCCGGGUCUGCAGUCGAUACGGGCAGGCUAGAGUGUGGUAGGGGAGAUCGGAAUUCCUGGUGUAGCGGUGAAAUGCGCAGAUAUCAGGAGGAACACCGGUGGCGAAGGCGGAUCUCUGGGCCAUUACUGACGCUGAGGAGCGAAAGCGUGGGGAGCGAACAGGAUUAGAUACCCUGGUAGUCCACGCCGUAAACGUUGGGAACUAGGUGUUGGCGACAUUCCACGUCGUCGGUGCCGCAGCUAACGCAUUAAGUUCCCCGCCUGGGGAGUACGGCCGCAAGGCUAAAACUCAAAGAGUAGUGACGNGAGAGAGCGACGAGCACACGGAGGAGAG